Molecule: ribosomal RNA, 406 nt
Filed under: uncultured bacterium
Lineage: Bacteria
Description: partial 16S ribosomal RNA
Rfam family: Bacterial small subunit ribosomal RNA
Source: RNAcentral
AUUGAACGCUGGCGGCAGGCUUAACACAUGCAAGUCGAGCGAGCGGCGGACGGGUGCAUAAUUUCUGGUAAACUGCCUGAUGGAAGGGGAAAACUACUGGAAACGGUAGCUACUACCGCAUACCAUAAUAUGUGACCAGCUGGGCUUUGCUCGUAGUUGGGGUAAUAUCUCACCUAGGCGACAAUCCCUAGCUUGUCUGAGAGGAUGACCAGCCCAACUGGAACUGAGCCACGGUCCAGACGCCUACGCGAGGCAGCAGGGGAGACUAUGGCACAAUGGGCGAAAGCCUGAUGCAGCCAUGCCGCGUGUGUGAAGAAGGCCUUCGGGUUGUAAAGCACGUUAAGCGAGGAGGCGUUACUCGCAGAAGAAGCACCGGCUAACUCCGUGCCAGCAGCCGCGGUAAUAC